Coregonus clupeaformis (lake whitefish) is the source of this 426-nucleotide long non-coding RNA. RefSeq lists it as uncharacterized. The transcript has 2 exons. Lineage: Eukaryota; Metazoa; Chordata; Actinopteri; Salmoniformes; Salmonidae. The record is from RefSeq and is a predicted model, not a curated record.
AAUAAAAAACUGAAAUAACUUAUUUACAUAAGUAUUCAGACCCUUUGCUAUGAGACUUGAAAUUGAAACCCACUAACAGUUAGCAGGUGGAGCCAAAACAUCCCCUACUGAUUAUGUCUUUCAGGUGAUAAGACGAUACACAAGAAAAUUACAUAUUUAUUUAUAUUGCUCAACUACAAAUAAAAUCCAGGCAAAAUAAAUUAAUCUGAUCAGGCGUUGUUUUACUCAACAGUCACACUGACAAGUAGGCCGAGAUUCAAUCUGAUCAGGCGUUGUCGACGAUGCAGCUUUUAAAGGCAAUGUUACCAUGUUCGCAGAGAUUGCAUUAACUCUACAACGCUGCAGAUGCUUGAAAUGUCACAUUGUCGACAGGCGCUAUGGAAUUUAAUCCAAUUGAACACCAGAUCUCAGUGAUAUUAGUUCAAA